Pelobates cultripes (western spadefoot toad) is the source of this 217-nucleotide non-coding RNA. The record is from the annotation of a GenBank genome assembly. Lineage: Eukaryota; Metazoa; Chordata; Amphibia; Anura; Pelobatidae.
UAGGGGUGAUUAUUUCUGAUGACUUAAAGGUAGGCAGACAAUGUAAUAGAGCAGCAGGAAAUGCUAGCAGAAUGCUUGGUUGUAUAGGAGAGGUAUUAGCAGUAGAAAGAGGGAAGUGCUCAUGCCAUUAUACAGAACACUGGUGAGACCUCACUUGGAGUAUUGUACACAGUACUGGAGACCGUAUCUUCAGAAGGAUAUUGAUACCUUAGAGAGG